This 257-nucleotide ribosomal RNA is filed under the name uncultured bacterium. RNAcentral's name for it is "partial 16S ribosomal RNA". It matches the Rfam family "Bacterial small subunit ribosomal RNA", at positions 524 to 776 of the family's 1533-position model. The record is from RNAcentral.
UACGUAGGGGGCUAGCGUUGUCCGGAUUUAUUGGGCGUAAAGAGCGUGUAGGCGGUCAGGUAGGUCCGUUGUGAAAAACUCGAGGCUCAACCUCGAGACGCCGAUGGGAAACCAUCUGACUAGAGUCCGGAAGAGGAGAGUGGAAUUCCUGGUGUAGCGGUGAAAUGCGCAGAUAUCAGGAAGAACACCCGUGGCUAAGGCGGCUCUCUAGUACGGUACUGACGCUGAGACGCGAAAAGCGUGGGGGAGCGAACAGG